This 358-nucleotide ribosomal RNA is filed under the name Zorotypus medoensis. RNAcentral's name for it is "12S ribosomal RNA". Lineage: Eukaryota; Metazoa; Arthropoda; Insecta; Zoraptera; Zorotypidae. The record is from RNAcentral.
UUGGUUAAAUUUCCUAAUUUAACCAAAACUAGAGUAAAAGUUUUAUUCUAGUUUUUUACUUGGUUAUUAAUUGUUUAUAUAUGAAUUUUUUUUAAAUAGUUGUUAUUAUAAUAGUUAGAUUUAAUUAAUUAAGGAAACUUAGAAUUAGGGUUGAUAAAGAGUUUGGUUAAAUUUGUGCCAGCAUCCGCGGUUAUACAAUUAAAUAGUAAAGUUUUUUAGGAUUAGUUAGGGGUUUGUAGUAAUAAAAUGAAUAAUUUAAGGUGAAAUUUGAUUAACUGUUUUAUACUUUUUAUUGAGGCUAUAAAAUUAUUUGAAUGACUAGGAUUAGAUACCCUAUUAAUUUAAAAAUGUAAAUUUU